Molecule: ribosomal RNA, 483 nt
Filed under: uncultured bacterium
Lineage: Bacteria
Description: partial 16S ribosomal RNA
Rfam family: Bacterial small subunit ribosomal RNA
Source: RNAcentral
GACGAACGCUGGCGGCGUGCUUAACACAUGCAAGUCGAACGGUGAAAGCGGAGCUUGCUCCGCUGGAUCAGUGGCGAACGGGUGAGUAACACGUGGGCAACCUGCCCCUGACUUCGGGAUAACUCCUCGAAAGAGGUGCUAAUACCGGAUACGAAUCCUGCAGGCAUCUGCGGGAUUGGAAAGUUUUUCGGUCAGGGAUGGGCCCGCGGCCUAUCAGCUUGUUGGUGAGGUAGUGGCUCACCAAGGCGACGACGGGUAGCCGGCCUGAGAGGGCGACCCGCCACACCGGGGAUUAGAAACGGCCCGGACUCCUGACGGGGGCCGCAGGGGGGGAUAAUGGGCAAUGGGCGAAAGCCUGACGCAGCAACGCCGCGUGAGGGAUGACGGCCUUCGGGUUGUAAACCUCUUUCAGCAGGGAAGAAGCGAAAGUGACGGUACCUGCAGAAGAAGCACCGACUAACUACGUGCCAGCCGCCGCCGUAA